GUAGAAUGUAAACAUUUACACAGAGAAAUAACAAGGAGAACAAGGAAGAGGGAGGGGAAUAUACACUUUGCCCUGCGUGCUACUAGAUUCUUUCAAUUAAUUUUGUUUCCAUUAGGAAGGCUGUGAGGUAUCGUAUUAUUUUCUCUUGGGUGUGUUUAGGGAUUGAAUUUUUCAGUCCUAGUAGUGUUGGUGCUUCCAGAGGGACGCUGAGGGGUCUAAGCUUUGCUUCCAUUUUGUUUCUUGCCGCAUUGUAUUGUUGACAGUGGAGGAGUACGUGGGCUGUGUCUUCUUGUGCUGGGCAUCCGUGUGGGCAAAUAUCCGGGGUUUCUGCUUCGAUUCUGCUGAUAAAGUGGUUGAGUCUGUUGUGACCACUACGAAGGCGUAUCAAGGCGGUUUGUAUGAACCUUUUUUUGUGGUUGUGUCAAGGUUGAAAACCGAAGGCCUCUCUGUUGACCACUGCCAUAUUCGAUGAAGAUAGUUUCAGUCUACCGAACGUGAUUUCCCUGUGGUUUGAUUUAGCAGCUGCUAAAUUUUGAUUAAUGUCUAUUUUGUUUCUUAGUGUGUUUCCACUGUGAGCUUGGCAUUUCUGGAUGUUUGUGGCCAGUUGGUCAGCAACUUCGUUUCCUGGUAUCCCAGCAUGUGAUGGUAUAACUGGGCUGGAUCCCCAUUUGAAGUUUGAUAGUGCUUGGACUGCGGACUUGGAGUCAGAAAAUAUGGUUGUAGAUUCAACUUCUUGAUUGUUGAGUUUAGGGAUAUAGAAGGCGCAGCUGGCAAUUUUUUUAACUUCACAUACUGAGCCAUCAGUGUAGAUUUCUAGGUGGUUGAUGUCUUGAUUGGGCCUUCGAGAGUUGAAUAUUUGGUUUGUUUGGGGUGAGUUUUGGGCUUGCUUUUUUGUGAGUGGGAAGAAGGACGUGGGGAUGUAGAAGUGUUUCCAUGGUGGGAGUGGUUCGACUUCUGGUGUGUGAGCGACUAGAUUUUUAACAAGGUUUUUACCAGUUGGGUCCAUCUUCCUUAUGUAGAUGAUGGCUGAAGGGGUGCCGUUAGGUUUCCACUCUUUCUGGGUUUUCUUUAGUUGUUGGAUGGUACUGUAGGCCGGGUUCCAUGGUUUUUCGUUUAGUUUGAGUAAGUAACUGUAUGCGAGUUGGUCCCACCUGUCUUUAACAGGGUAGAUGCCGGUUUCGAUGUUUAGGAGAGCUUUGGGGGUUGAUUUAAAGCAGCCUAGGAUGAUGCGGAGGAUCUGAUUUUGGGCCUGUUCUAAUUUUCCCAGUCUCGUUUUGGAUAUUGUUGACAGUAUGAAGAAUCCGUAGUCGUAGAUGCUCCGGACCAUGGCUUUGAAUAUUCGGAUGAGUAGUGGGAUUUUUAAGGUGUUUUUUCCAUAGGUUAGCAUUCUUAUUAGGUUGGCCCUCCUGCUCAUUUUAUUGAUGGUGUUGUUGAUUUGCGUUUCCCAAUUCAUUUUUGCGUCGAAUAUCAUUCCGAGGAACUUGUGUUGUUUCACUUCCUUGAUGGUGGCUCCGCUGAGAUUGAGUUUAAGUGCUGGUUCCUCGAUUCUUCUUUUAUUAAAGUUGGUUUUGAAGAGGGGUUUCUGCAGCUUUUUUGGUUUUUGUUGUAGUGUAAAUCGCUACGUCGUCCGCAAACAGUGACACUUCACAUCCCUUAUCUGGCGUCGGGAAGUCAGCUAGCAUGACGUUGAAGAGAAGGGGGCUUAAUACGCUUCCCUGAGGUACUCCUUUGGAGAUUGCUCUCUCUUCCGAUAGGUGAUUAUUUACCUUGAUCCGGAUGCUUCUUCCGUUUGAACAGGAUCCCUUCUAUCCAGGUGUUAUCAUAUGCCUUGGAGAUGUCCAGGAAGAUUGCGGUUGUUGAGCACCUGUUGUUAAAUCCGGAUUUGAUUGAGGAUUCAAGUCGAAUUAGGUUGUCUGUGGUAGUGCAGCCUCUUCUGAAUCCGGUUUGGAAUUUCGGGAGUAUACCCAGGUGAUCUAAGUGUCAUUUUAAUCUAUUGUUAAUCAUUUUUUCCAUAACUUUCCCCAUGCAUGACGUCAAUGAAAUCGGCCUGUACGAUUCUGCUUCCCCAGGAGGUUUAUUUAGCUUGAGAAUAGGUGCUACGGUGGCGCAUUUCCAGUUUUUUGGGACAAAUCCUUGCCGGAACAUUGUGUUAAGUAUUCUUAGGAGAUUCUUUCUGUUUUCCAGGUUUAAAUUUUUUAGCAUUCUGUUAUGUAUUUUGUCCAUGCCGACCGCUUUGUCCGAUAGGUUCGAGAGGCUCUUUGAUAAUUCUUGGAUGCUGAAGUCAGAGUUUAGAGGAUCCGGGUCCGUUUUCUUAAUGUUUUUAUCAAUUUCCAUUUCCAUCUCAGGGGCAGUUGAAUUAGGUUGAUCGUUAACACUAAUCGGGGAGAACUGGUCGAGGAAGAUGUUUGCCUUUUCUAGUGGGUCUUCUGUCCUCGCACCAUUGGGUUUGUUUAGUGGUGUGUUAACAAAUUCUCUUCGUCCGUUCAUCAUUGCUUUUGAGAAUGUCCAGAAUUUUGAGGCAUUUCCUUCGUCUAGAGUUUCAAUAUGGCGUUUCCAUGAUUUGUUCUUUGCUGCCUGGAUAGUCCUUUUCUUUAUUGCUUCCAUUUUGUUAAGGUACAUUUUGUCAGUUUGGAUGAGGGUGGAGCGCCAUAACUUAUAGGCUUUUCUUGCGUUUUUUACUGCGACGCUGCAUUCUUUAGACCACCAUGGUUUUUGUGCCUCUCGGGGAGGUGUGCCAGUCCUAGGGGCGAAGUAUUUGUUGGUGGCUUUAAUUAGUGCGUCGUAGAAGGUGUUGUACAUACUGCCAAGGUUUUGGGCCACUUGGGUGUUUUCAUUUAAUAAGUUUAUUAGUUCUUCAUUCCACUGCUGCCAUUUGUUGUCAUCGAAUUUCCAUACUUGUCUUGGUAGUGUGUGGGUUGUAGUGUUUAUCCGAACUUCAAUCAUAACGGGCAGAUGAUCACUUCCCCAGUAAGGUCCUGUCGCGAUAGAUGUAUUGGUUGCAAUGUUGGGGGUGCAUAGAGUUAGAUCGAUUGUUGCGCGUCGGUUACUUGUCAAGCAUGGUCUUGUACCGAGAUUCUUAGGUGUUGUUAGUAUGAAUUUAUCGUCGCUGAGUAAAUAUUGCUUCAAGUUUCUUCCAGAAGUGUUUGGAUGGUAUCCGUCUUCCCAUAGAUCAGCAUGGGCGUUGAGAUCGCCCCCCACGAUGGCGCUAUUCCCUGUGUAGGUAAGUAUGUUUUCUAGUUGUUCAUAUUUGCAGCGGUUCCCGUUUGGACAGUAUGCUGUUAUCACCUCCAAUCUUUCGUCAUUUUUUAGUUUAAUUGACACACCGAUUGAUUCUAGGUCUUCAUGUGUUGGAACAUCUAUUGCUGUGGCUUGGACGUUCUUCUUGGUAAGUAUGGCUACUCCUCCUCCUUGUGUUGGGCGAUUUAAGACAAACGAGUUGUAUGCAGAAAAGGACACUUUAUAUUCGUCUCUCCAAUGGGUUUCAUUAAGUAGAACAAUAUGCGGGUUGUGGUAACGUAAUUGGUUUCUGAAUUCUUCUAGUCUUGCUCUGUAAAGUCCUCUAGCGUUCCAUUGUAUAAUUUUUAGUGGUGUGGUCAUGGUUUAACAGCUUUUUUUGGUGGCUCAGUUCCAGAUUUGUUUAGGGCUGUUGAUUGUACUCUUUUACCCUGGUUCUUUGUUGACUCAUUUGACUGAUGGCCAGUCUCUUUUUGCAAGGCUUUUUCUUUCUGUCUGGCUAUCCUAUCAUUUCUGUCUUGGAUAAACAUUUCGUACAUUAGAGUCAAGCGGUUGUCGAGACUGGUGAAUCCGGUUGUCAUCUGCGUUUCAAGUUUUAGGAUCGGCUCUAUUACUUGUUUUAUUGUGCUGAUUUUCCUUUCAACUUCUUUCAACCUGUUUUCGAUUGAACUUGGUAUACUUGGGCUUUCUGCAGCUAGCUGGAGUUCGACUACUUUCGCUUUGAGUUGGUCUAUUUCUUGCUUGAGUGUCGUGUCUAAAUUCAUCCUAUGUUCUUCCGUGUUUAUGUUUGUCUUAUUUAUAGGUUCCUUGGGUACUUGUGCUGUACUGGAAUGGAUUCUGCCGGCUUCUGUUACCGAGAGGUUGUGGUCGUAAGCGUACUUGAUUAUUUUUUGUUUGUUAGCAAAUAUAGGACAUUUUGCUGUUCCAGCUGCAUGAUCAGAUUUGCAGCAAGUCGGACAUUUUGGUGGAUUUGUGCAUUGGCUGUACGUGUCGUGGGCGCUGGAGCAGGAUCUGCAAGCUAUAUCAUUGGUGCAUAUUUCUUCAGGGUGACCAAAUUUCCAGCAUUUUCGGCAUAAGGACGGUCUGGGUAUGUAUUUUUUCACCGUGAAAAUUUCGUGGGCAAUGGUGACUUCGCGUGGUAGCGUACUGAUGCUGAAGUACAGUGUGACCAGAGGUAAGUUAGUUAAUGUUUUGUUUGUGUCACGAGAUGUAAACCUUUUCACUUUAAUUACACUUUGGUCAGAUAAUAACUCUAAUAGUUCUUCUUCACUGUUGUUUGUCGAAAAAUUAUAUAUAUCACCCCUCUAACUUCUUGUUCUGAUUUGCAGAGCGAGCACGAGAUUGCAUGUUCGUUCACUAGUUUCGUGUUGAGUAGGGUGGUUUUCUGUAUAUGCGUGGAUGGGUAGAUGUACAACUCUCCACGUUGAGUCCAUUUCGUUCCCGGUCUUACUUGUUCUAUUGCGUCGAUGAGUGCUGUAAUGAAGUUCUUCUUCGCAGUGAGGUUCAUUGCUCGAAACGAGUAUGGUUCCUCAGCUAGCUUAACGAUUAUCGGGGCUCCGCUUGUUGGAUUGCUUGGAUGAUGUGUCAUCGGGGUGGUAAUAUCGUCGAUGGACUCGGAUUCGCAGGUGGAGCUGGACGUCCCCUCGUAAUCCUCGUUGUCCUCCAUGGUACUUCGGUAGCAAGGCAGGUACACCCCCUUUUUUUUUUUUUUUUUUUUUUUUUUCUUUUGCAGUAGUCGUAAGGACGUCAGUUCACUAUCACUUCAGGAAGGAGACUGGCGGCCAUUUUCGAUUAUUUCUAGCAAUAACAGGAGCAGACGAAUCUGAAGAAGAGCACCUUGUUCUGAUUUGAGGCAAUUUCGGACGUUUUACCCGAAUAAAUUAAUAAUAAAAUAUUUUUGGACUGCUCAUCAUUGACAAGAUUUAUGA
Molecule: long non-coding RNA, 5162 nt
Organism: Daphnia carinata
Lineage: Eukaryota; Metazoa; Arthropoda; Branchiopoda; Diplostraca; Daphniidae
Exons: 6
Source: RefSeq, a predicted model, not a curated record